RNAcentral lists this long non-coding RNA (543 nucleotides) under Homo sapiens (human). RNAcentral's name for it is "non-protein coding lnc-TMEM121-2:17". Lineage: Eukaryota; Metazoa; Chordata; Mammalia; Primates; Hominidae. The record is from RNAcentral.
CACGUUCUUUUCUUUGUUGCCGUUGGGGUGCUGGACUUUGCACACCACGUGUUCGUCUGUGCCCUGCAUGACGUCCUUGGAAGGCAGCAGCACCUGUGAGGUGGCUGCGUACUUGCCCCCUCUCAGGACUGAUGGGAAGCCCCGGGUGCUGCUGAUGUCAGAGUUGUUCUUGUAUUUCCAGGAGAAAGUGAUGGAGUCGGGAAGGAAGUCCUGUGCGAGGCAGCCAACGGCCACGCUGCUCGUAUCCGACGGGGAAUUCUCACAGGAGACGAGGGGGAAAAGGGUUGGGGCGGAUGCACUCCUGAAGAGACGGUGACCAUUGUCCCUUGGCCCCAGAUAUCAAAUCACUGUGCCUCUCGCACAGUAAUACACAGCCGUGUCCGCGGCGGUCACAGAGCUCAGCUUCAGGGAGAACUGGUUCUUGGACGUGUCUACUGAUAUGGUGACUCGACUCUUGAGGGACGGGUUGUAGUUGGUGCUUCCACUAUGAUUGAUUUCCCCAAUCCACUCCAGCCCCUUCCCUGGGGGCUGGCGGAUCCAGCU